RNAcentral lists this unclassified non-coding RNA (299 nucleotides) under Hevea brasiliensis (rubber tree). Lineage: Eukaryota; Viridiplantae; Streptophyta; Magnoliopsida; Malpighiales; Euphorbiaceae. The record is from RNAcentral.
UAUCGAUUCUCUUCAAGGUGAACCAGAUGGAUUUGUUAGCCGAAAGACAGAACAUGUCACCAUUCUCCAUUUCGCCUCUUUCACACUUCCUAAAAGUUCGAACUUCACCGUCCCCAUUACUGUAUACCCAAAUAGGGUUCCUUCCAACAACUUCAAAAUUAACCUUAGUUUCAUCUUCCUGGUCUGGAGACUUACGGAUUUGGAACGAGAUUUGCCGGCGAGAAACGGUUCGGUCGUCGGAGGUGAACCCCAACCCUCUACCGAACUCUCGGGUUGAACCGGGUUUCAGCAGGGUUUUG